This 495-nucleotide ribosomal RNA is filed under the name uncultured bacterium. RNAcentral's name for it is "partial 16S ribosomal RNA". It matches the Rfam family "Bacterial small subunit ribosomal RNA", at positions 28 to 507 of the family's 1533-position model. The record is from RNAcentral.
GACGAACGCUGGCGGCGUGCCUAAUACAUGCAAGUAGAACGCUGAAGGAGGAGCUUGCUUCUCUGGAUGAGUUGCGAACGGGUGAGUAACGCGUAGGUAACCUGCCUGGUAGCGGGGGAUAACUAUUGGAAACGAUAGCUAAUACCGCAUAAGAGUAGAUGUUGCAUGACAUUUGCUUAAAAGGUGCAAUUGCAUCACUACCAGAUGGACCUGCGUUGUAUUAGCUAGUUGGUGGGGUAACGGCUUACCAAGGCGACGAUACAUAGCCGACCUGAGAGGGUGAUCGGCCACACUGGGACUGAGACACGGCCCAGACUCCUACGGGAGGCAGCAGUAGGGGAUCUUCGGCAAUGGACGGAAGUCUGACCGAGCAACGCCGCGUGAGUGACGAAGGUUUUCGGAUCGUAAAGCUCUGUUGUAAGAGAAGAACGAGUGUGAGAGUGGAAAGUUCACACUGUGACGGUAUCUUACCAGAAAGGGACGGCUAACUACGUG